ACAGACUCAGAACCUUGACAAUCAAAGAGAAGUCGAUCUGUUAAAAUUACUAGACUUAGAACAUAUUAACACUUGAAUUUUUUAGAAUUUUUAAGUCUUAAAGUUUGUCUAAGUUGUAUUUUGUCUACACCUCUGAUUGUAUAUUAAGUGUAGUUAUUACCCAAAUAUCUUAAAAGUUUGUUAUAGAGUCAUAAGUCUCUUAUUUUAAUACUUGAGAAUUUGAAGUAUUUAGCUUGUG
Molecule: long non-coding RNA, 238 nt
Filed under: Lathyrus oleraceus (garden pea)
Lineage: Eukaryota; Viridiplantae; Streptophyta; Magnoliopsida; Fabales; Fabaceae
Description: Pisum sativum (pea) long non-coding RNA (PSAT_LNC000138)
Source: RNAcentral